RNAcentral lists this ribosomal RNA (253 nucleotides) under uncultured bacterium. RNAcentral describes it as "partial 16S ribosomal RNA". It matches the Rfam family "Bacterial small subunit ribosomal RNA", at positions 524 to 776 of the family's 1533-position model. The record is from RNAcentral.
UACGUAUGGUGCAAGCGUUAUCCGGAUUUACUGGGUGUAAAGGGAGCGCAGGCGGCGCGGCAAGUCCGAUGUGAAAACCCCCGGCUCAACCGGGGGACUGCAUUGGAAACUACCGGGCUGGAGUGCCGGAGAGGUAGGCGGAAUUCCUGGUGUAGCGGUGAAAUGCGUAGAUAUCGGGAGGAACACCAGUGGCGAAGGCGGCCUACUGGACGGUGACUGACGCUGAGGCUCGAAAGCGUGGGGAGCAAACAGG